UUUCCGCUGCUUCCUGCCCCUGACCGCUAUGCACAAAACUUUUUGCAAUAGACUGUACAAACAUUCACAGUAAGGCUACAAUCACUGGUGGCAGAAACGUUGAUUGAGGUAGCGAGCGCAAAGAAGCAAAAACGAGCAGUAGUGGAGCAAUGUGAAAAAAAAAAAAAUGGAUGAAAGAUUGCGGGUUCGAUUUUUAAAUGGGAUUAACGAGAGGAUUAAACGAACAGUUAUGUCUCACGAUCCGAAAACGUUCGAGGAGGCGCUAUUAGUUACUACACGGGAAAAAUUAAUCGAUCAGGUGAUAGGUAAGCCGUGUCCUUACGUGGGCAAAUUGAAGAAAUUAGUGGUCUAUCGCCUCAGCGGGCAAUAUAGCCGCUGAGGCGAUAGACCCAGUCGGGCGAGUUGACCAUGACUCAAGAAGUUUGCAAACCGCGAUCAAACAAAUCAACGAUAGGCUCGACGGAUUGGAACUUAAAGUAGAGAUCAAGACAAACUCACAAUCGACAACUACCUCGCAACGUACAACACCGUCAGGAAUACGAGAGAUGUCGCGUUACAGGGUAUCGAUGCCGCUGCAAUACUACGAACACAAUGGGAUUCGCCCAUCGCAUAAUUACAGGCAGCCACGAUAUGACUGGCAUCCACAGCCUCGUUUAACUGAUUAUCAAGAUUUUACAGAUAGACCUACACCGAGAUUUAACCUGCCGAGAGAUAAUGGAUGACACUAAAACUAACAACGAAAGGCAAACGUCUCCACGUAUUUUAAUAUCAGGAAUGACACAACGGAAAGAAGGGAGAAUCGAAUUGUAAUAAAAAUAAUAAUAACAAUAACAACAUGAACCAUACAAAUAAACUGUUGACGAUGAUAAAACAAAUUUGUAGCCGACUUGACAGAUUUUAGAAUCGAGAUUAGAGAGCGCG
This 921-nucleotide long non-coding RNA is filed under the name Androctonus crassicauda. Lineage: Eukaryota; Metazoa; Arthropoda; Arachnida; Scorpiones; Buthidae. The record is from RNAcentral.